Dicentrarchus labrax (European seabass) is the source of this 434-nucleotide long non-coding RNA. RefSeq lists it as uncharacterized. The record is from RefSeq and is a predicted model, not a curated record. The transcript is spliced from 3 exons. Lineage: Eukaryota; Metazoa; Chordata; Actinopteri; Moronidae.
GUAAAGUGUGUAAAGUGUGUGUAGUGUGUAAAGUUGUGUAAAGUGUGUAACGUGUGUAAAGUUGUGUAAGGUGUGUAAAGUUGUGUAAAGUGUGUGUAGUGUGUAAAGUUGUGUAAAGUUGUGUAAAGUGUGUAAAGUGUGUAAAGUUGUGUAAGGUGUGUAAAGUUGUGUAAAGUGUGUGUAGUGUGUAAAGUUGUGUAAAGUGUGUAAAGUUGUGUAAAGUGUGUAAAGUGUGUAAAGUUGUGUAAAGUGUGUAAAGUUGUGUAAAGUGUGUAAAGUUGUGUAAAGUGUGUAAGGUGUGUAAAGUUGUGUAAAGUUGUGUAAAGUGUGUAAAGUGUGUAAAGUUGUGUAAAGUGUGUAAAGUUGUGUAAGGUGUGUAAAGUUGUGUAAAGUUGUGUAAAGUGUGUGAAGUUGUGUAAAGUUGUGUGAAGUUG